AGGUAGGGUGGCCGAGUAGGCGGCGAGCUGUAACCUCGUACACGGGCCAGAGUGUCCCCCUGUCAA
This 66-nucleotide transfer RNA is filed under the name Cyrtodactylus philippinicus. Its description in RNAcentral is "tRNA-Tyr". The record is from RNAcentral. Lineage: Eukaryota; Metazoa; Chordata; Lepidosauria; Squamata; Gekkonidae.